GACGAACGCUGGCGGCGUGCCUAAUACAUGCAAGUCGAACGCUUCUUUUUCCACCGGAGCUUGCUCCACCGGAAAAAGAGGAGUGGCGAACGGGUGAGUAACACGUGGGUAACCUGCCCAUCAGAAGGGGAUAACACUUGGAAACAGGUGCUAAUACCGUAUAACAAUCGAAACCGCAUGGUUUUGAUUUGAAAGGCGCUUUCGGGUGUCGCUGAUGGAUGGACCCGCGGUGCAUUAGCUAGUUGGUGAGGUAACGGCUCACCAAGGCCACGAUGCAUAGCCGACCUGAGAGGGUGAUCGGCCACAUUGGGACUGAGACACGGCCCAAACUCCUACGGGAGGCAGCAGUAGGGAAUCUUCGGCAAUGGACGAAAGUCUGACCGAGCAACGCCGCGUGAGUGAAGAAGGUUUUCGGAUCGUAAAACUCUGUUGUUAGAGAAGAACAAGGAUGAGAGUAACUGUUCAUCCCUUGACGGUAUCUAACCAGAAAGCCACGGCUAACUACGUGCCAGCAGCCGCGGUAAUACGUAGGUGGCAAGCGUUGUCCGGAUUUAUUGGGCGUAAAGCGAGCGCAGGCGGUUUCUUAAGUCUGAUGUGAAAGCCCCCGGCUCAACCGGGGAGGGUCAUUGGAAACUGGGAGACUUGAGUGCAGAAGAGGAGAGUGGAAUUCCAUGUGUAGCGGUGAAAUGCGUAGAUAUAUGGAGGAACACCAGUGGCGAAGGCGGCUCUCUGGUCUGUGACUGACGCUGAGGCUCGAAAGCGUGGGGAGCAAACAGGAUUAGAUACCCUGGUAGUCCACGCCGUAAACGAUGAGUGCUAAGUGUUGGAGGGUUUCCGCCCUUCAGUGCUGCAGCUAACGCAUUAAGCACUCCGCCUGGGGAGUACGACCGCAAGGUUGAAACUCAAAGGAAUUGACGGGGGCCCGCACAAGCGGUGGAGCAUGUGGUUUAAUUCGAAGCAACGCGAAGAACCUUACCAGGUCUUGACAUCCUUUGACCACUCUAGAGAUAGAGCUUCCCCUUCGGGGGCAAAGUGACAGGUGGUGCAUGGUUGUCGUCAGCUCGUGUCGUGAGAUGUUGGGUUAAGUCCCGCAACGAGCGCAACCCUUAUUGUUAGUUGCCAUCAUUCAGUUGGGCACUCUAGCAAGACUGCCGGUGACAAACCGGAGGAAGGUGGGGAUGACGUCAAAUCAUCAUGCCCCUUAUGACCUGGGCUACACACGUGCUACAAUGGGAAGUACAACGAGUCGCGAAGUCGCGAGGCUAAGCUAAUCUCUUAAAGCUUCUCUCAGUUCGGAUUGCAGGCUGCAACUCGCCUGCAUGAAGCCGGAAUCGCUAGUAAUCGCGGAUCAGCACGCCGCGGUGAAUACGUUCCCGGGCCUUGUACACACCGCCCGUCACACCACGAGAGUUUGUAACACCCGAAGUCGGUGAGGUAACCUUUUGGAGCCAGCCGCCUAAGGUGGGAUAGAUGAUUGGGGUG
This 1482-nucleotide ribosomal RNA is filed under the name uncultured bacterium. RNAcentral's name for it is "bacterial SSU rRNA". It matches the Rfam family "Bacterial small subunit ribosomal RNA". The record is from RNAcentral.